This 254-nucleotide ribosomal RNA is filed under the name uncultured bacterium. Its description in RNAcentral is "partial 16S ribosomal RNA". It matches the Rfam family "Bacterial small subunit ribosomal RNA", at positions 524 to 776 of the family's 1533-position model. The record is from RNAcentral.
UACGAAGGGGGCUAGCGUUGCUCGGAAUUACUGGGCGUAAAGGGCGCGUAGGCGGAUAGUUUAGUCAGAGGUAAAAGCCCAGGGCUCAACCUUGGAACUGCCUUUGAUACUGGCUAUCUUGAGUUCGGGAGAGGUGAGUGGAAUGCCGAGUGUAGAGGUGAAAUUCGUAGAUAUUCGGCGGAACACCAGUGGCGAAGGCGACUCACUGGCCCCGAUACUGACGCUGAGGCGCGAAAGCGUGGGGAGCAAACAGG